Ostrinia nubilalis (European corn borer) is the source of this 1412-nucleotide long non-coding RNA. RefSeq lists it as uncharacterized. The record is from RefSeq and is a predicted model, not a curated record. The transcript is spliced from 3 exons. Lineage: Eukaryota; Metazoa; Arthropoda; Insecta; Lepidoptera; Crambidae.
GGUACGUUUACACGCUUGCCAAGCCUUCGCAAGCGGCAAACAGCUCCAAGCCUCCACAAAUCUCGUUUGGCGUUUGAAAGGAGUUUACACGCUUGGGAACGCGUCAGUCUGCAAGAUAGAUCCAAGCAUGGCGGACACCGAACUUGUAACGGCUAUUGCAUUUGGUUUAUCGUACUUUUAUUUAAAAUGCAAGCAAAGUGAAACAAAAAAAAGAAAAACUCGACGACAACGAAGAUGGUGGAUGAAAAAGAUUCAUCGAAAUCGUACCAGACAAUUUAUAGAAGAGAAAUUUAAUGAACUUUUAUAUGAACCUUCUGGCGAGUUUGAUAACUUCUGCCGAAUGAGCUAUACCGAUUUUGAAUUUUUACUGCAGAAAAUUUCACCAAUGAUAUCCAAGCAAGAUACAGACUUCAGAGAUGCUAUACCGGCCAAAUUUCGUCUUGCCAUUACGCUACGAUUUUUAGCAUCUGGUGAUUCUUACAAAAGCCUUCACUACAUGUUUAAAGUAUCUGUCUCUAUGAUAUCAAUAACCAUUCGUGAAGUUUGCCGAUCUCUUAAUGAAAUUCUAAAGGAUCUAGUUAAGAUGCCCACCACAGCAGAAGGAUGGCUUAAUAUUGAAGAAGGAUUCAGGACCAAAUUUCCACAUUGCAUAGGGUCAUUGGAUGGCAAGCAUGUAGUCAUUGAAAGCCCAACUCAUAGUGGAACAGAAUAUUUCAAUUAUAAAAAAACUUUUAGCAUUGUCCUUUUGGCGUUAGUGGAUAGCAAAUACAAAUUUGUAUUUGCAGACAUCGGGAGUCAAGGAAGAAUAAGUGACGGUGGCGUGUUUAAUAAUUGUUUACUAUGGAAAAGAAUAUGUAGGAACGAGAUAGAUUUUCCACCGCCAUGUCCACUUCCAGGAUCGAAUAUUAAUAUUCCAUACGUGUUUUUAGCUGACGGUGCUUUUGCAUUGAGUCAACACGUAAUGAAGCCCUACCCUGGAAACCAUGAAGUAGGCUCACCAAAAAGGCUAUUUAACCAAAACUUAUCUAAAUCCCGAGUUGUAGUUGAAAAUACGUUUGGAAUUUUAACCUCGGUUUUUAGAAUAUUCAGACGUCCUAUCGAUUUAGAACCACAAACUGUGACAGAAUUUACGAUGACUUGUGUAUUACUACAUAACUUUUUGAGAACAAGUAAAAGUUCUUCAAAUCGAUAUAUUCCUCAGGGUUCGUUAGACGUAUAUGACAGUAGUGGAAAUAUGGUUACACCUGGUUCAUGGCGCAGAGAUAACGACGGAUAUAAUGCAUUGCAAACAUUACCACAAAUACCACGAAGAUCUCCGCUGAAUGCCAAAGAAGUCAGAGAAGAAUUUACUUCAUAUUUUAAUAGGAUUGGAUAAGUUGAUAAAAAUGUAUAAAUAAAUUUAUAAUAAGUAA